RNAcentral lists this transfer RNA (86 nucleotides) under Methylophaga sp. 41_12_T18. RNAcentral's name for it is "tRNA-Leu". It matches the Rfam family "tRNA". Rfam says of the family: Transfer RNA (tRNA) molecules are approximately 80 nucleotides in length. Their secondary structure includes four short double-helical elements and three loops (D, anti-codon, and T loops). RNAcentral also lists the same sequence under 4 other names. The record is from RNAcentral. Lineage: Bacteria; Pseudomonadati; Pseudomonadota; Gammaproteobacteria; Thiotrichales; Piscirickettsiaceae.
GCCGACGUGGUGAAAUUGGUAGACACGCCAUCUUGAGGGGGUGGUGGACGUAGUCCGUGGCGGUUCGACUCCGCCCGUCGGCACCA